UGGGGAAUAUUGGGCAAUGGGCGCAAGCCUGACCCAGCAACGCCGCGUGAAGGAAGAAGGCUUUCGGGUUGUAAACUUCUUUCUCAGGGACGAAGCAAGUGACGGUACCUGAGGAAUAAGCCACGGCUAACUACGUGCCAGCAGCCGCGGUAAUACGUAGGUGGCAAGCGUUAUCCGGAUUUACUGGGUGUAAAGGGCGUGUAGGCGGGGAAGCAAGUCAGAUGUGAAAACCACGGGCUCAACCUGUGGCCUGCAUUUGAAACUGUUUUUGCUUGAGUACUGGAGAGGCAGGCGGAAUUCCUAGUGUAGCGGUGAAAUGCGUAGAUAUUAGGAGGAACACCAGUGGCGAAGGCGGUCUGCUGGACAGCAACUGACGCUGAGGCGCGAAAGCGUGGGGAGCAAACAGGAUUAGAUACCC
Molecule: ribosomal RNA, 418 nt
Filed under: uncultured bacterium
Lineage: Bacteria
Description: bacterial SSU rRNA
Rfam family: Bacterial small subunit ribosomal RNA
Source: RNAcentral